AACGAACGCUGGCGGCAGGCCUAACACAUGCAAGUCGAACGCCCCGCAAGGGGAGUGGCAGACGGGUGAGUAACACGUGGGAACGUGCCCUUCGGUUCGGGAUAACUCAGGGAAACUUGAGCUAAUACCGGAUAAGUGCGAGAGCAGAAAGAUUUAUCGCCGAAGGAUCGGCCCGCGUCUGAUUAGCUAGUUGGUGAGGUAACGGCUCACCAAGGCGACGAUCAGUAGCUGGUCUGAGAGGAUGAUCAGCCACACUGGGACUGAGACACGGCCCAGACUCCUACGGGAGGCAGCAGUGGGGAAUAUUGGACAAUGGGCGCAAGCCUGAUCCAGCCAUGCCGCGUGAGUGAUGACGGCCUUAGGGUUGUAAAGCUCUUUUACUCGGGAAGAUAAUGACGGUACCGAGAGAAUAAGCCCCGGCUAACUUCGUGCCAGCCGCCGCCGUAAAAC
RNAcentral lists this ribosomal RNA (450 nucleotides) under uncultured bacterium. RNAcentral's name for it is "bacterial SSU rRNA". It matches the Rfam family "Bacterial small subunit ribosomal RNA", at positions 29 to 526 of the family's 1533-position model. The record is from RNAcentral.